UUUUUAAAUUGAGAGUUUGAUCCUGGCUCAGGAUGAACGCUGGUGGCGUGCCUAAUACAUGCAAGUCGUACGCUAGCCGCUGAAUUGAUCCUUCGGGUGAAGUGAGGC
This 108-nucleotide ribosomal RNA is filed under the name Oenococcus oeni. RNAcentral describes it as "partial 16S ribosomal RNA". It matches the Rfam family "Bacterial small subunit ribosomal RNA", at positions 1 to 99 of the family's 1533-position model. The record is from RNAcentral. Lineage: Bacteria; Bacillati; Bacillota; Bacilli; Lactobacillales; Lactobacillaceae.